AGAAUCAACGCUGGCGGCGUGCCUCAGACAUGCAAGUCGAACGAUUAAACUUUCCUUCGGGAAAGAUAUAAAGUGGCGCACGGGUGAGUAACACGUAAGUAAUCUACCUUCGAGUGGGGAAUAACGUUCGGAAACGAACGCUAAUACCGCAUAAUGCAGCGGCAUCGCAAGAUGACAGUUGUUAAAGGAUUUUAUUCGCUUGAAGAGGAGCUUGCGGCAGAUUAGCUUGUUGGUAAGGUAACGGCUUACCAAGGCUACGAUCUGUAACCGGUCUAAGAGGACGGUCGGUCACACUGACACUGAAUAACGGGUCAGACUCCGUACGGGAGGCAGACAGGUCGGGUAAUUUGGGCAAGUGGGACGAAAGCCUAGACCCAGACCAACGCCGCGGUAGAAGAGUAG
RNAcentral lists this ribosomal RNA (402 nucleotides) under uncultured soil bacterium. RNAcentral describes it as "bacterial SSU rRNA". It matches the Rfam family "Bacterial small subunit ribosomal RNA", at positions 26 to 413 of the family's 1533-position model. The record is from RNAcentral.